RNAcentral lists this unclassified non-coding RNA (241 nucleotides) under uncultured Rozellomycota. RNAcentral describes it as "uncultured Cryptomycota sequence contains ITS2". The record is from RNAcentral. Lineage: Eukaryota; Fungi; Rozellomycota.
AACUCUCUGUGCCACGCUGACUGGGGAAAUGCCAGCGGGGCGCGAUGUGGGCGUGUGGCCACUGGGUGAGGCGUGUGCCACUCGCUUGAAAUGCAUGCUGCAGACACGCGGCGCUUUGUGGGAUAACAUCCUUCAUGGGGCGCCUGUCGUGUGAUCACUGCAGCAGGACCGGUUGGGUGUGUGUGUGUGUGUGUGUGGUCGGUGAGAAAUCGCCGCCGCCGCCACCCGCCAUCAUUUUACA